UACGAAGGGGGCUAGCGUUGCCCGGAAUCACUGGGCGUAAAGCGCGUGUAGGCGGAUCGCUAAGUCUGUGGUGAAAGCGCCUGGCUUAACCGGGCGAGGUCCAUGGAAACUAGCGGUCUGGAGGCCGGUAGAGGGGGGUGGAAUUCCGGGUGUAGUGGUGAAAUGCGUAGAGAUCCGGAGGAACACCAGUGGCGAAGGCGGCCCCCUGGGCCGCGCCUGACGCUGAGACGCGAAAGCGCGGGGAGCGAACGGG
Molecule: ribosomal RNA, 253 nt
Filed under: uncultured bacterium
Lineage: Bacteria
Description: partial 16S ribosomal RNA
Rfam family: Bacterial small subunit ribosomal RNA
Source: RNAcentral